UACGGGGGGGGCAAGCGUUGUUCGGAAUUACUGGGCGUAAAGGGCUCGUAGGUGGCCAACUAAGUCAGACGUGAAAUCCCUCGGCUUAACUGGGGAACUGCGUCUGAUACUGGAUGGCUUGGAUUCGGGAGAGGAAUGCGGAAUUCCAGGUGUAGCGGUGAAAUGCGUAGAUAUCUGGAGGAACACCGGUGGCGAAGGCGGCAUUCUGGACCGAUAUUGACGCUGAGGAGCGAAAGCCAGGGGAGCAAACGGG
RNAcentral lists this ribosomal RNA (253 nucleotides) under uncultured bacterium. RNAcentral describes it as "partial 16S ribosomal RNA". It matches the Rfam family "Bacterial small subunit ribosomal RNA", at positions 524 to 776 of the family's 1533-position model. The record is from RNAcentral.